GAUGAACGCUGGCGGCGUGCCUAAUACAUGCAAGUCGAGCGAACAGAUGAGGAGCUUGCUCCUCUGACGUUAUCGGCUGACGUGUGAGUAACACGUGGAUAACCUACCUAUAUUACUGGGAUAACUUCGGGAAACCGGAUCUAAUACCGUCUCAUAUAUUGAACCUCAUGUUUCAAUAUUUAAAUACGUUUUUUCUUUCACUUAUAGAUGGAUCCGCUCCGCAUUAUCUAGUUGGUAAGGUAACGGCUUACCAAGGCUACGAUGCGUAGCCGAACUGAGAGGGUGAUCGGCAACACUGGAACUGAGACACGGUCCAGACUCCUACGGGAGGCAGCAGUAGGGAAUAUGCCGCAAUGGGCGAAAGCCUGACGGAGCAACGCCGCGUGAGUGAUGAAGGUCUUCGGAUCGUAAAACUCUGUUAUUAGGGAAGAGCAAAUGUGUAAGUAACUAUGCAUGUAUUGACGGUACCUAAUCAGAAAGCCACGGCUAACUACGUG
Molecule: ribosomal RNA, 497 nt
Filed under: uncultured bacterium
Lineage: Bacteria
Description: partial 16S ribosomal RNA
Rfam family: Bacterial small subunit ribosomal RNA
Source: RNAcentral